This 21-nucleotide microRNA is filed under the name Mus musculus (house mouse). Its description in RNAcentral is "mmu-miR-879-5p". Its record names the gene mmu-miR-879-5p. The record is from miRBase by way of RNAcentral. RNAcentral also lists the same sequence under 1 other name. Lineage: Eukaryota; Metazoa; Chordata; Mammalia; Rodentia; Muridae.
AGAGGCUUAUAGCUCUAAGCC